CUCACUUAUCAGGAUAUAAGCUUUACAUUAAUAGAGGAUACUAAAUUCAGCAUUCAACACUUGCCAGCCUCUUCUUCAUCUUUCUUCUACUUCAUCCUUUCAGAAGGAUAACAUGACAGAGUGGUGGUAUAUGGGAAGAAGGAUAUUAAAAGAGAGACAUUCUUUUGGAAUGACGCAGAAGAGAGUUUGAUACUCUGAACAGAGUUGAAAGUUGAAAAAAGUAAAAGUAGCAUAACAAUUUGUACCCGUUUUCAAUUAUGUUUAGGAAUUGUACCCUGUCUGAAAGUUGCAUAACUAUUUUGUUUCCAAAAGAAAGAUCGCAUAUCGAAGAAGCUUUAAACAAGAACUAUCAAAUGAAAUAUUGAUGUCUUUUCCCAUGA
Benincasa hispida (wax gourd) is the source of this 380-nucleotide non-coding RNA. Lineage: Eukaryota; Viridiplantae; Streptophyta; Magnoliopsida; Cucurbitales; Cucurbitaceae. The record is from RefSeq and is a predicted model, not a curated record.